RNAcentral lists this ribosomal RNA (492 nucleotides) under uncultured bacterium. Its description in RNAcentral is "partial 16S ribosomal RNA". It matches the Rfam family "Bacterial small subunit ribosomal RNA", at positions 29 to 507 of the family's 1533-position model. The record is from RNAcentral.
AGUGAACGCUGGCGGUAGGCCUAACACAUGCAAGUCGAACGGCAGCACAGUAAGAGCUUGCUCUUACGGGUGGCGAGUGGCGGACGGGUGAGGAAUACAUCGGAAUCUACUUUUUCGUGGGGGAUAACGUAGGGAAACUUACGCUAAUACCGCAUACGACCUACGGGUGAAAGCAGGGGAUCUUCGGACCUUGCGCGAUUGAAUGAGCCGAUGUCGGAUUAGCUAGUUGGCGGGGUAAAGGCCCACCAAGGCGACGAUCCGUAGCUGGUCUGAGAGGAUGAUCAGCCACACUGGAACUGAGACACGGUCCAGUCUCCUACGGGAGGCAGCAGUGGGGAAUAUUGGACAAUGGGCGCAAGCCUGAUCCAGCCAUACCGCGUGGGUGAAGAAGGCCUUCGGGUUGUAAAGCCCUUUUGUUGGGAAAGAAAAGCAGCAGGUUAAUACCCCGCUGUUCUGACGGUGCCCAAAGAAUAAGCACCGGCUAACUUCGUG